GAACACAACAGAAGGUCCGCAGAAGCCAACUGUGCCAGGAGCAGUCCCAUGAAGUGCCGUAGACAGAGGUGCCAGAGGGACAAUCCUAGCUUGCGGAACUCUGUGAGGCCAGAUGGAGGGGCGGCAUUUUAGUGGGACCUUGGGAUGUGGCAAGGGCAGCCAGGGGGAACCCGUGAUGCUUUGAGAGGCCACUCCAGGCAGAGGGAAGAGUCUGAGCGAGGGCACAGCGAUGUCAAGUCCCAAGGAACGGUGAUUCAGUCUGGUGUCCGUGCGUGUGUGUGUGUGUGUGUGUGUGUGUGUGUAUGUGUGAUUAGAGAAGGAGAGAGAGAGGAUAUGGCCAGGGCAGCUAGGGGUAGACCGUGGUGAGCCUCAAACACCAGCCUAAGGAGCAGGGUGGGUUGGGCCAGCCCUAGAAAAUCACAAAGUCUUCUGUGCAAGGCAAGGGGCAUGGUCUGAGCUGUGCUUCAGAAAGAUGAAUCUCUUACCAUGUUCAGCACAGCUGAAGGGACAAGCCCUUCCCAGGGUGGGGAAAUAGGUAGGUGGUCAUUGGCAUAGCCAUUGUGAGAGAUGAUGCUCUGGAGAAGAUUUCUAGCAAAAAAAAAAAAAAAAAAAAAAAAAAGAAAAAGAAAAGAAAGAAAGAAAAAGAAAAAAGAAAAAAAGAAACCAAGGGGAGAGGUGUGGGAAAUAUUGCAAAGGCAGCCUAUGUAAGUAAGAGUCUAAAAGUGCUGAUUGUCUGUUUGCUGUUUAUUGUCCAUUUACUGUUUAUUGUCUGUUCACAGGGUCAGGCUCUGUGCUAGGCACUAAGGGUGUGGGCAGAUUCAGGCGCAGUUUACAAGGAUCCCUUGCUUGGAAGUCUUGGUGAACUCACAGACCAAGGCGGAGAAGAAAGGAAACGUUCGUCGCCUUUUGAGGAUGUGCCAGCACUUAUCGAAGUGUUUUUUGCUUGCCGAAUCCUAUGUUUAGCACACCAAGGAUCCAGGGAUACCUACGACAAGAGCCUGCCCUCAACUCUGGUGGGAAGACAUAGAAAUGAACAGGUCUUUUCAUGACCAAUGUGAGAUGCUUGGGUCAGAGUGCCUCUAAGGUUCCUGUCUUCUCUAAGGUUCAAUGUCAUUACCCUGCUUACCUUCUGCCAGUGACUUUGUACAGCUAUGUAAACCCUGUCCCAUCGCCUCACGGAGCCACCUCCCACAUCAUUUUCUGCCACUUUCCGAAUCAUUGAUCUACUCCAGCCACACUGGCUUCCUCUUUGUUCCUCAGAGAGUCAAGCUUGUCCCUACCUCAGUGCCUUUUCACCUGCUGUUCCCUCAACUUAGGAAGUACUUGCCCUCGAUCGUCACAUGGUUGGGUCCUUCUCACCCUGAUCUCAGCUGAAACUUUGUUUGCUCAGAGAGGCCAUUUCUAACUGCCUUGACUUAGGUGGAUCUGAAGUCUGCCAUAUUGUUUC
Long non-coding RNA from Leopardus geoffroyi (Geoffroy's cat), 1447 nucleotides. RefSeq lists it as uncharacterized. NCBI's taxonomy places the organism in Eukaryota, Metazoa, Chordata, Mammalia, Carnivora, Felidae. The record is from RefSeq and is a predicted model, not a curated record. The transcript is spliced from 3 exons.